ACAUUGGAAACUGCCUUUGGGCAGGGGAAGUAGCUCAGUCCUGUAUGCUGUGCAAACACAUGGGCCUGAGUUUGAUGUCCAGAACCCAUGUAAAGAAAGACUUGGCUCUGGUUGCUUGCACUUGUCCUGGGGAGACAGAUGUGUUGCCAGUGCUCACUGUCGGGACACUAAUUCAGCAAUAAAGUAGACUUGGAGAAACUGUGGUCCGCCUACCCAAGCUGCAGUUGCCCUGCCCCGGUGCCCAGACCAGCCUGCAUGAGCAUGUGUGGCAGGCCUGCCUCUAUGACCAGAGACUGCUGACAGAGAGACACCUGAUCCAGAGACCAAUGAGGAAAGGACACGCAGCAGACUCAGCCACCUGAGCCAAUAGGACCUUGGGAGGGGGUAUAAAGGCAGGUCUAACUUCCUUAAUAAAUGAGUCUCCAGCAUGCUCUGCCAUUCAUUGACUCCC
RNAcentral lists this long non-coding RNA (451 nucleotides) under Cricetulus griseus (Chinese hamster). RNAcentral describes it as "lncRNA (ENSCGRG00000026239.1)". The record is from RNAcentral. Lineage: Eukaryota; Metazoa; Chordata; Mammalia; Rodentia; Cricetidae.